AAAUGACCUUUAAAUACAAGCUCAGUGAAGUGAGAGAAGGUGUCCUUUGGAUGUCAGUAGGAAGAGCAUUGUAGGCAGGGGAACUGCAAGUGCAAAGGCCCUGAGGCAGACACUCUCUUACUGUAACCACCAAACAGCAAUGAAGCCAGCAUGGCACAGCAGCCCAAGGGCAAGGUGGAUAGGUGAGGUCACAGAGGCGCCAGGAGCCAAAGCAUGGUCCUCACUGGCCAUGCAAGGACAGCGGAUGUUCAUCUUAGCUUGAUGAGAAAUCACUGAAAGUUCCAAGCUCUAAGUGACACGGUCUGACAUUCUAAGAGCAUCAUUGGUGCUGUGUAUAAAAUAAACUGCAUGAAUGGAAGCAACCAUGGAAACGAUGAGCCCAAUCUGAGGCUGCUGCGAGGAUCCAGGUCUCGGCGUAAAUGCCGCCUCCUCAGAGAAGCUGCUCUGGGUCAACUCCAAGUAAAGCCAAUCCACCUUCUCCUUUCCUCCUGUUCUCCACAAGGGCAUCCUUGUUCAUUUCUUUCAUAGAAAGAACAUACCUGUUCCUUUCUUUGCUGAUCUGCUUAUUGGCUCCAUUCCCAUCUAGACUGUAAACUCCACGAGAGCAAAGUUUGUUCACCACUGCAUUUCCAAGACCCAGUAUGGGCACUCCUUAUUACUGAAUGGACAGAUAAUCGUAUCUUAAGUGCUUACUGGGAGCCAGGUACUGUGCUAAGUGAUUUGGAAGCACUAUCUCCUUGAGUCCUUCAUCAGCUCUAUAAAACCUGUGGACAACGAGGCAGUGGGUUUAGAGGGGUUAAGCAUCUGACUGGUUUGGUCGCAGAUGUGAUCUAGCUUCUUCUACUGGUCUUCUCCAUGUACUGCAGAACAAACAAGCUGUUACAAAGCAACAAGAAGAAACAAAGCUCUGUGUAACUCUACCAGCCUAAUUAGGCAUCCUCCUCCUCUGGUCAUUCGAGGACUCAACUCUUCUCCUCUCCCAAGAUGCCUGGUUUAGACAGGAAAAGAACAAAUUCUUUGGCUAAGGCGGGCAGGUGACCCUGGCCCAGCCAAUCAGCAGCCCGAGUCACAUGGAAUUAAAGGUAAACACAUGACCCAGGAUAUUCUAGUAAGAGCCAGCCCCGAGCUGCUGGGAAUUUUAGGGAAAACAUUGUCUUUUGGUAGAGAUUACUGAGGCAACGGGGCCUGACUGGUUAGUGCUGUGUGCCCGAGAAAGCCCUCUGAGAACGCAGGGCGGAGUCGGCACCCAGCAAAGCAGAGAGGCAUUCUGCGGAGAUCACUCCGCCACACACAUCUGCACACUCACUUUUUGUUGGUUGUUUUAAGUCAGUCUGAGUCCAAUUUCUGUUUGCAACACAGGGCUUUGGUUAACACCGAGAGAAGCCGCAGACCCAAACUAGACCAGGCAGAGGGGCGUGGGAAGAGGGAGGGAGGAGCCCCAGAGCAGGGAUGGAGGUUCACCUUUACUUCGGGGGUGGGCCACACAAGGCCAAGAGCAGGGCAAGAAGUUGAAACCCACCUACCCACGGCCCCCACAGCCUCAGUUUCCCAGUGACGUUAGGAGAUGGGGCUACCAACUGGGACCACGGGCGCUGGAACUUCAGGGAGAAGGAAUUGAGAAAAGAUGUUCGGAGAUGGCACCCGAGACUUCGGACAGACUGACGGGGAAGGCAAAGGGCACAGCUGAGAUGGGAACCUACAAACGUGGAGGCUCAGCGGGGUCCUUACUGCCCACCGCUACUCAGCUAAGCAGCCGAGCUCGUGUGGAACCCUGGGUCUAUCUGACUCUCCGUCCACAUUCUUCCUGCUUGACUCAGAUUUCCGGGGUGCAUCUGCUCAUCUUCUCAAGUUCUCCCACCCUUCUGCCAACAGCUUUCUGGAGUCCUGUGAUCGUGACAACCUGGCAGGGUUGACAGCAGAAGGUGAACUUCAUGGCUACCCACCCAGAAGAGUCUGUCCCCCAGGAAAAUAUUUAAACUCAAGAUUGGAGGGAGAGCAGUUUAAAUUCCAUAGCCGAGUGUUAGCACUUUCGGUAGAUGAGAGAAUAAAUACUACAGUGCCUAAGAGUAUGGGCUUUGGGGUGAAGAAAAAGACUUUAUAUUGACAUUAGGACUUAGCAGCUGUGUGGCCACGGGCAAAUUACUUGGGCUCCCUUAGCCUGUUCCUCUACUGUCACGGGUGGUAAUAACAGCACCCAUCUCACGGUAUUCUUUGAGGAUGAAAUGAAAGCACAAAUAGAGUUCUACUCUUUAGUAGAGGUAAAUAAUUUAACAGAGCAUGCAUGACUUGCUUUAAUGUUAGGGUUGUAAAUAGUGUUAUUAGUAAAGUCUUCUUCAUUAAAUGGAAGGCCAGUUUUCUUACCCUAAUUAUGUUAUAUUCCCUGGGUAGGUCACUUAGCAAAUCUCUUGGCCCUGUUUUCUCAUCUGUAGGAAGAAGAAGUUGAAUUCCACUUCUAAGGUAAUCUUUCAACUUUUGAUUUCUAUGAUAUUAUACUCCAGUGGUUACUGCCAGACAUAUCCUAUCAGUUCCAAACUCCCUCUUGGCAUGUGACCUUCUCUUCUUCCAUUUCAGUUCACACUGUUGGCUUCUCUUCCAGGGGACAGCUCAAAGUCAUGCAUCUGGCAGAUGAUUUAGGAAUUUCACUUGGCCCAGGGGCCUGCCAAUUCCAACCAUCCAACGGGAGCCUGGUUUGAUCUGCAGUUUAAGUAGGUCCUUCUUGGCAGAGAUGUGGAGAGAGGGAAACAAGAACAGACAGGCAGCUUCCAGCCUGCAGGGCCUACAUGAUUGUAGGCUAUUUGUUAUGAAUGUAGAGUAAUUUUUUUUAAUUAAGAUUUCUGCUGGGGGAACAUCUCCUCCUCGCCGAGCCCCUGACCUGCUCCUCCUCUCAGAUGCCACCCUGCCAAGGGCUGGCCAAAGUCUGCUGUCUUUGUCAGCCUCAAAAUCAAAGCCUUAAGGAACAAGAGAGAUCUGCAUCUUUCCAAAUCCUGCCAGUGAACUGUAAAAGGUGUGAAUAUGCUACGUGUUUGUUGCAACAUUUUAAAAUAAAUUUUAAGACAUUUGAA
Molecule: non-coding RNA, 3062 nt
Organism: Heterocephalus glaber (naked mole-rat)
Lineage: Eukaryota; Metazoa; Chordata; Mammalia; Rodentia; Bathyergidae
Source: RefSeq, a predicted model, not a curated record